Molecule: long non-coding RNA, 1766 nt
Filed under: Homo sapiens (human)
Lineage: Eukaryota; Metazoa; Chordata; Mammalia; Primates; Hominidae
Description: HSALNT0352112
Source: RNAcentral
CUGGCUGAAACAUGCCACAUAAUUAGAUUUUCUUUUUCUUUACCUUUUCUUUCUUAUUUUUAUAAGAGGCCCGGAAUUAGCCUCUUCGACUGGGGCGGAGUAGCUGGGGUGUGGGAAAGGAACACCUUCAUACAACUUCCAGCUUUCAGCCCCUUGGAGAGAUUUCCAAAUUCCCCAGAGCCUCUAGGACUUCCUUUCCUCGAUCUCUCGGCCACCUCCUCCUCCUUCUCCGAUCUGUUUUUUUUUCCCUCCUCCCACUGUCUUCUCUAUGGUUUAAUCAAAGUUCAGCGACUCCACUUGCCUCUCCUCUCAUUUCUUUCGGAAAGGGGAAACCAGACGACCCAGCGGCCACGGGACGAGUCGCCCCAACUCAACCCCAGCAGGACGCUGGAGGGGCCUCCCUUGCCCACCUCUCUUCGCUGGCACUGGCCUCCUGCACCCGGGUCUGCAGUCCCUCCGCCAUCUCACAAGUGUGCAGCCGCUAGGCCUGGGGGAUCCGAAUGACUGGGGCUGGAUAGGAAUGCCUUCGUGUUUCCCAAGACCCCCGGGCCUGCUCCACAAAGUUUGAAGGGUGGGUACACCCCGACCCAGGCAAGUUACUCCCCCAAACCCAUGACUGACUAAUCUGAUAUGACAAAAGCCCAUGAUGGAUUUGGUAUAUGUUAAUUCACAAUGCCCUUUCCUCCAGAAUUUAACUAUAAGUUAAUACACACCGGAAACCACGCGCAUGCACGCUCCUUAAUGGGCUUAGGUAUUAGCGAGUCCUAACGAUGCAUACAAAUGUGCUCUGCGCUCUGUAGACCCCUCAAGAUUUAUGGGCCUUGAGCUCUCUGAAGCUGUAAACAAGGAGAAAAAAAAAAGAGAAAGCGAAAGCGACUGGGGGGAAGAGACAGAGGCCUGACUCGCCCCUCCAGGUUUUGGAGAGAAGGGAUUCUUUAUGUAUUUUCCUUUCCUUGCAAGCUCGGAGCCCCUGUUUUAAGAAGGAGGCCAAAUGUGCAGGCUCAGGCCAAGCAGCAGAGAUGAAUGAGGUGAUGACCACAGCCUUGAUCCGGCAGGAGCUCAGAGAUGCCCGGGAAGACGGGGGGCCCGAAUGGAAGCAGAAAAACACUUAUGGCCGCUGGGAAGUUGGGAGAGCCAGGCUGGGACUCCGGCAGGCCCAGGGAAAGUUCCCCUUCUAGGCUCUUUAUUAAAAAAUUUAAAAGGAGGAGUUGAGGCGCCUUGAAUUUUCCUUCGCGAGUUUGGAGACCAGCCGAUUUUUCACGAAGCAAGCAAAGACCGCGGUCCCGGAUCCUGCAACAUAUACCUCAUUUUCUCCAGGCCUCUCCACUUGCCCGAGCUCUCAGCCACCAGGAGACAGACGGAAGGGGCUUCUGGGCUGUGUUGGGAGCGGGCAUUGUCCCCUACCCACUCCUGCACAGUUUCCCAAAGUCCAGCCACCUCCGACCCUCCUUGGGGGAAAAAAUACCAGUACCCAGACACCUCUGCACCCUGUUAUAUGACUGGGCUUGCUUCAGGAAUAUCUUACAAAGAAGAAGGAGGAGGAGGAGGAACGGCUUGGAGUCAUGUUUACAUCUAGUUCUACUGAUCCGUUCACAUCUGGAGAGUUUAUUUAUAACUCCCUCUAUAACUCUCUGUUUGGAGGCACUGGUGGCUCUACUGACAGACUGAUGUCUAGGAAAUAUUGCUCUAUGUCUAAUGGUACCUAAAUGUGCUGUGGUUGUAUUUACAGAUUUACGUUUGAGGGAAAUAUAAUUAUUUCCAUUGUA